ACCGUUUCUAUUGAAGUUACUAACCUAGAAAACCGAUAUAUAAACAUAUGAUAUUGAUUAACUUAAUAAUAUAUCGAACUAGAGAACUAUUUUUGGCAAUGGGAUCAAUUAUAGUCGAUGAUUUGAAGAUUAAAAACAGGAUUCAAAUCGAGAACAUCCUCUUCAUAUUUCUUUUUCUCUGGAAAACAUUAGAUUGCAACGUUUUGUUGAACAAAAAAACUGAAAACAACGAUACAAAGAAUGCGUUGAAAUCGUUUGUUGAGGUUGUAGGAAUAAAUUUAGAAAACUGGGGAUUUGUUUACAUCCCAUUGUUCGAAAGUACUUUGGAUUUGUUGCGUACUUGCUAUUUAAUGGACUUUAAGUAACUCGAUAUAAAAGGAUUAAUUGCAUUCUCAUUUUUGUGUACUAAAUAUCGAGAAGUAAUAUUUAGUUAAAUUCUUUAUUGAAAAAUAAGUCUUGAAGGAAAUUAUAGAUAUAUAAAAGAGAUGAGACAUUUAAUAACAAAAUAAACGAAGGAUAUAACAGGAUAGAACUUCACGAGACACAAUAAUGAAGACAACUAUAACUUGAGCAUCAGAUAUAAUGAUGCUAUUAAAAAAAAACUAAUAAAAUGUAAGAAUAUUGGAAAACAAGAAGAGGAGAAUCCUGGGACACAUUAAAAUUCAUGAUUUACAAAAUAAAGAACCAGAUAAAAGAAGAAGACAUAGUAAAGUACGUAAAAGCAAAGAAACUAAAGUGUUUUCCGCAUAUAUAAAGAAAAAGCGACUUAAAAAACGGAUACCAACAGAAAAUGGACCAAACAUAGUAAGACUUGAAAGUUCUGGAAGCUGCGAAUUGGAAGGAAAUAGUGGGAUGCAGAAAAAAGCGAUAAAAGUACACGUAUAACAGUGAUAAGUGAAAAUUAAAUUCAUACUAAUACAUUAUGUAAAACAGAUCUGAUACUCCUUUCAAUUUUGAUAGUUAUUUAGACAAAAACUAAUCUCAAAUUUUAUUUAUUAUCAAGCUAAAGGAAAGUGGUCGAUGGGUAAUUGCUUUUGGAGUCUGAAACAAUCAGCUGAACUUCGUAUUCUUUUGAUCAUAAUCCAAGCCUAUGACAACUCGGCAGAUAUUUUUCGAUAUGGUUGCCAUUUCACAUCCAGAUUUGAAAUAGGUGUUGAAUCAGGAUGGCGUGGAGGUCGACUUAAUCAUUUUUCCUGGAGAUUAGCUUGCCAGGUUAAAGUUCAAGAUCUAUUGGACGUGUGUGAUGCUGCUCCGUUCUGCUGGAACCAAUUUUUUUUGUUUUGCAGUCGAAUUAAUAUGUUGGUGUUUGUGUUUUAGAGCUUAAUCUGAAAACAAUAAGUUAAUAAACGUUUAUAAGCUCUCAGUCAUCUGGUUUACUAAAUCAAGCCUCUGGCUAGCACCCCGAGGAUUCAAUUAUUACAUUAAUUGAAGCCUCUUUCUACGUUUUCCUUUUUAGACCGUUCUAGAAGAUCUUGGUCGCUUGGAUUUUUGUUUAUAAAGAUUUGUGCGAUCUCUUCACUCUUCUCGGUCCAUUUUCCAAUCAGUUAAAUAUCUGGUGGACGAUUUAAGUUACGUUUUUUACGCUCUACAGUCUCAAGAGACAAGCUACGUAUUUAUAUAUCUCAAAUGCCCCUCCGAAUUGCGCUCAUUCAAUAAUCAAUAUAGAAGUAUAUUGCUCUGAUGAGACGUAAUAACUUUGAAACUAGUCAGUGGCUACAAAGCUAUAAGUGAGGAAAAAAAUUUUAAUAAUUUGAAAAGUUAUACAACUACUUUUGGGACGUACUGUAUAUAUGGUAUGGUUGGGUUAGGUAUGCCACAAAAUUUCUUAUCUAACAAGAGACAGAAAAGAUGGGGGCUAGAAGAGGAAUUACAGGGACAGAGAGAUAAUGCAAGAAUGUGUUUGAGGGUGAAAUCAGUGUCGUUUUAAGGGUUUGUCGAGCAUAUUUGGAAUACUCAUACCUCCCCUAUUGUUACUUACUAUUUUUAUUACAACAUUCUUUAAGACGUCUUUAAUUUUUCUUAACAAAAAAGAGAAAUAACAAAAGAAAUAGCAGGAAAUGUGUUUGUUUUCGUGAGCAUUGUAUAAAAGAGACCCUUUUUGAUAUAUUAAUAUUCAUAAAAGGAAAAUCCCCCAUACGGGGAUUUUUAUUCAUCAUUCAUCCCUUCCGUACCUUUUUUCUUAAUGAAUAUACCCCAAAAAAGAAACGACUCCCCUAUCAAUCAGUGAUUAAUACUGACUCGUCUAAAGGAGGUUCCUACUUUACCGGUGCGGUGUAUAUUAGAUGGUCUGUUGUGAGUUACGGCUCGAAGGACCAAAAAAUACCGUUCUAAACACUUGUAGCGAGUGGAUUUUUUUAUUUCGCUAGAUCUCGUUACACCUUGCAGAAAAUAAUAUUAAUUUACAUCGAGAAACUCGAUAUAUCUCGAAACAAUCGUGUAAUAUACACCGAGUUUCAAGAAAA
Diorhabda sublineata is the source of this 2462-nucleotide long non-coding RNA. RefSeq lists it as uncharacterized. The record is from RefSeq and is a predicted model, not a curated record. The transcript is spliced from 2 exons. NCBI's taxonomy places the organism in Eukaryota, Metazoa, Arthropoda, Insecta, Coleoptera, Chrysomelidae.